RNAcentral lists this ribosomal RNA (301 nucleotides) under uncultured bacterium. Its description in RNAcentral is "partial 16S ribosomal RNA". It matches the Rfam family "Bacterial small subunit ribosomal RNA", at positions 509 to 807 of the family's 1533-position model. The record is from RNAcentral.
CAGUCGCCGCGGGAAUACAGAGGGUGCAAGCGUUAAUCGGAUUUACUGGGCGUAAAGGGCGCGUAGGUGGUUAUGUAAGUGAGAUGUGAAAUCCCCGGGCUCAACCUGGGAACUGCAUCUUAUACUGCGUAGCCGGAGUGCAGUAGAGGGUAGUGGAAUUUCCGGUGUAGCGGUGAAAUGCGUAGAUAUCGGAAGGAACACCAGUGGCGAAGGCGGCUACCUGGACUGACACUGACACUGAGGCGCGAGAGCGUGGGGAGCAAACAGGAUUAGAUACCCCAGUAGUCCCUGUGUCUUAUAC